RNAcentral lists this transfer RNA (77 nucleotides) under Coriobacteriaceae bacterium. RNAcentral's name for it is "tRNA-Asp". It matches the Rfam family "tRNA". From Rfam's summary of the family: Transfer RNA (tRNA) molecules are approximately 80 nucleotides in length. Their secondary structure includes four short double-helical elements and three loops (D, anti-codon, and T loops). Lineage: Bacteria; Bacillati; Actinomycetota; Coriobacteriia; Coriobacteriales; Coriobacteriaceae. The record is from RNAcentral.
GGGGUGUUAGCUCAGUUGGUUAGAGCGCUGGCCUGUCAAGCCAGAGGCCGCGGGUUCAAGUCCCGUACAUCCCGCCA